RNAcentral lists this transfer RNA (46 nucleotides) under Alexandrium fundyense. RNAcentral's name for it is "partial Selenocysteine transfer RNA". The record is from RNAcentral. Lineage: Eukaryota; Dinophyceae; Gonyaulacales; Pyrocystaceae.
GCCUUGCAGCUCUGUGCGGCCUGCUCUUGCUCGGCAACCUCUGCUC